RNAcentral lists this ribosomal RNA (376 nucleotides) under uncultured bacterium. Its description in RNAcentral is "bacterial SSU rRNA". It matches the Rfam family "Bacterial small subunit ribosomal RNA", at positions 790 to 1167 of the family's 1533-position model. The record is from RNAcentral.
GUAGUCCACGCCGUAAACGAUGAGUGUUAGGUGUCUGGAAUUAAUCUGGGUGCCGCAGCUAACGCAUUAAACACUCCGCCUGGGGAGUACGCACGCAAGUGUGAAACUCAAAGGAAUUGACGGGGACCCGCACAAGCAGCGGAGCAUGUGGUUUAAUUCGACGCAACGCGAAGAACCUUACCAAGUCUUGACAUAUUACGGAGGUCCUUAGAGAUAAGGACUUAGGACUUCGGUCCACUGUAAUACAGGUGGUGCAUGGUUGUCGUCAGCUCGUGUCGUGAGAUGUUGGGUUAAGUCCCAUAACGAGCGCAACCCCUUUUGCUAGUUACCAUCAUUAAGUUGGGGACUCUAGCGAUACUGCCGGUGACAAACCGGA